RNAcentral lists this long non-coding RNA (190 nucleotides) under Apteryx haastii (Great spotted kiwi). Its description in RNAcentral is "lncRNA (ENSAHAG00000001578.1)". Lineage: Eukaryota; Metazoa; Chordata; Aves; Apterygiformes; Apterygidae. The record is from RNAcentral.
GCAGGUCCCAGUAGAGGAGGUAUCUUGGGGCCUUUUCCAGGGAAGUUUUUAUCAGGCACUGAGCCACAAGUGACCUCACAACCACAAACAGCAGCCAUGGGCCUAGCACAGGCCUAUCAGGCACUGAGCCACAAGUGACCUCACAAGCACAAAGAGCAAUAAUGUGUCUCCUUGUUGCCUGUCAUUUACA